RNAcentral lists this microRNA (21 nucleotides) under Brachypodium distachyon (stiff brome). RNAcentral's name for it is "bdi-miR408-5p". Its record names the gene bdi-miR408-5p. The record is from miRBase by way of RNAcentral. Lineage: Eukaryota; Viridiplantae; Streptophyta; Magnoliopsida; Poales; Poaceae.
CAGGGAUGGAGCAGAGCAUGG